UGGCGGACGGGUGAGUAAUGUCUGGGAAACUGCCCGAUGGAGGGGGAUAACUACUGGAAACGGUAGCUAAUACCGCAUAACGUCGCAAGACCAAAGAGGGGGACCUUCGGGCCUCUUGCCAUCGGAUGUGCCCAGAUGGGAUUAGCUAGUAGGUGGGGUAACGGCUCACCUAGGCGACGAUCCCCAGCUGGUCUGAGAGGAUGACCAGCCACACUGGAACUGAGACACGGUCCAG
RNAcentral lists this ribosomal RNA (235 nucleotides) under uncultured bacterium. RNAcentral describes it as "partial 16S ribosomal RNA". It matches the Rfam family "Bacterial small subunit ribosomal RNA", at positions 96 to 334 of the family's 1533-position model. The record is from RNAcentral.